This 301-nucleotide ribosomal RNA is filed under the name uncultured bacterium. RNAcentral's name for it is "partial 16S ribosomal RNA". It matches the Rfam family "Bacterial small subunit ribosomal RNA", at positions 509 to 807 of the family's 1533-position model. The record is from RNAcentral.
CAGCCGCCGCGGGAAUACGAAGGGGGCUAGCGUUGUUCGGAUUAAUUGGGCGUAAAGGGCGCGUAGGCGGGUUUUUAAGUCAGAGGUGAAAUCCCAAGGCUCAACCUUGGAACUGCCUUUGAUACUGGAAGUCUUGAGUCCGGGAGAGGUGAGUGGAACUGCGAGUGUAGAGGUGAAAUUCGUAGAUAUUCGCAAGAACACCAGUGGCGAAGGCGGCUCACUGGCCCGGUACUGACGCUGAGGCGCGAAAGCGUGGGGAGCAAACAGGAUUAGAGACCCCCGUAGUCCCUGUCUCUUAUAC